Molecule: ribosomal RNA, 253 nt
Filed under: uncultured bacterium
Lineage: Bacteria
Description: partial 16S ribosomal RNA
Rfam family: Bacterial small subunit ribosomal RNA
Source: RNAcentral
UACGUAGGGUGCAAGCGUUAAUCGGAAUUACUGGGCGUAAAGCGUGCGCAGGCGGUUUUGUAAGUCUGACGUGAAAUCCCCGGGCUCAACCUGGGAAUUGCGUUGGAGACUGCAAGGCUAGAAUCUGGCAGAGGGGGGUAGAAUUCCACGUGUAGCAGUGAAAUGCGUAGAGAUGUGGAGGAACACCGAUGGCGAAGGCAGCCCCCUGGGUCAAGAUUGACGCUCAUGCACGAAAGAGUGGGGAGCAAACAGG